RNAcentral lists this ribosomal RNA (455 nucleotides) under uncultured bacterium. RNAcentral describes it as "bacterial SSU rRNA". It matches the Rfam family "Bacterial small subunit ribosomal RNA", at positions 71 to 518 of the family's 1533-position model. The record is from RNAcentral.
UAAAAGUAGCAAUACGUUGGUGGCGACCGGCGCGACGGGUGAGUAACGCGUAUGCAACCUACCUAUCAGAGGGGAAUAACCCGGCGAAAGUCGGACUAAUACCGCAUAAAACAGGGGCACCGCAUGGUGAUAUUUGUUAAAGAAAUUCGCUGAUAGAUGGGCAUGCGUUCCAUUAGGUAGUUGGUGAGGUAACGGCUCACCAAGCCGACGAUGGAUAGGGGAACUGAGAGGUUGGUCCCCCACACUGGUACUGAGACACGGACCAGACUCCUACGGGAGGCAGCAGUGAGGAAUAUUGGUCAAUGGGCGGGAGCCUGAACCAGCCAAGUCGCGUGGAAAAGGAAGAAGGAUCUAUGGUUCGUAAACUUCUUUUGCAGGGGAAUAAAGUGCAGGACGUGUCCUGUUUUGUAUGUACCCUGAGAAUAAGGAUCGGCUAACUCCGUGCCAGCAGCCGC